RNAcentral lists this small RNA (103 nucleotides) under Loigolactobacillus bifermentans. RNAcentral's name for it is "Lactobacillus bifermentans SAM-III sequence". It matches the Rfam family "SAM-III riboswitch aptamer (SMK box)". The record is from RNAcentral. RNAcentral also lists the same sequence under 1 other name. Lineage: Bacteria; Bacillati; Bacillota; Bacilli; Lactobacillales; Lactobacillaceae.
UUGGUUUAUAAGCAGAUUCCCGAAAGGAUUCACAUUUAUGUGUGGAUAUGCCUUGUAACCGUUAAAAGCAAUUUUGCAAACUUUAGGGGGAAUAUUAAAAAUG